GUGAGGGGACGGCAGGGAGAGCUCGGGGCAGCGGGGCCGCAAACACCGCCCUGGCGCCGCUCCUGGGAACCGGCAGGCCGACGUUUCUGCCUAAAUCCAGCCGUCCUGGGGUGGUGCCAUGGCUGGAGUCAUGGGACAGGGUCCUCAUGCAGCCCCAGCAUCGCUCCGAGCUCUUUCCUCUGAGCGUGAUAUUUGAGAUUUCCCAUGAGCUGCAAGCCCCAGCAUAGGGAGUAGAAGGUGAUGAGCAUCUGGUGUGGUUCUCCCACAUCCCAAAGGCAAUGUCCAUGGGACAAAGCUCAGAGAACCUGGCUGGCUGACAAAGCUGCUUCUCACACUCCACAACUCCCUGCUUCAUAUGGAGGAUAUUGACCCAUGGGAUGAACAGAGAUCAGGUCACUCCCUACGGCUGUUCCCUGAGCCAGGGCACCCUUGACUGAGGUGUAAUUGGCACAACCACAAAGACCAGCCCAAAGGGACCACGUUUUCCACUGGAGUUACUGCAACCCCUGACAAAUCUGCUUCAUUAUCACCAAUGUCAAUUAGAACCAAAACCAAGGGUUCCUCUGAAGAGAUGUGAACAACCUGAACAGGGACACAUGGUCCUUCAACUCAGAGCUGACUAUUUCACUGGCCAAACCCACCUUAGAAGGACAGCAUAAGGAACAGACUCAUCCUAUUCAUCCCAAAACCUUCCAAGGAGGAUUGAGAAACACUGCACCAGCACGACAGGAUAACAACACUGACUCCAGGUUUAGCUUUUCUCAGCCCCAUCUCCCAGCCCUGGAAGGAGCUUCCUUCCCACCAUAAUUCUGCAUACAUUGAACCAGUCUGAGCCCUCCCAUCUGUUCCAAUGAGAGGGUUUGAAGAUGGUUAUUCCAAAUAAGUGUAAAGGUUUCAGAACAGGAACCAGAGCCAUCUCUCCUACUCAGCCAUUGAAGGCUGCCUUGAUUACUUUGAUGUAACAACACUUGAAAGCUCCUAUUCUUUGAAACUAAUUUAAACACAUUGAAUUGUUGAAAGAUUAAAAACCGCAGUCAGCUAAUUACACUCACUCUCAUCUCUUAUUCAGCAAAUGAAUCACUUUUCAUUACCACUUAGCUGAAGUACAUGAAUUUCUGCCUAAUUAGAAAUGUUGUAGAUGGAGCAUUAGCAAGGCUGGAGCGGGUCAGGAUAUCUUGCCUGCUUCAUUUUUAAUUCCUAACAGUAGAGCCAGAUAGGAGAGGCUUCAGAUAAGAAGUCAUUAAACAAU
Molecule: long non-coding RNA, 1249 nt
Organism: Vidua macroura (Pin-tailed whydah)
Lineage: Eukaryota; Metazoa; Chordata; Aves; Passeriformes; Viduidae
Exons: 4
Source: RefSeq, a predicted model, not a curated record